RNAcentral lists this long non-coding RNA (263 nucleotides) under Equus caballus (horse). RNAcentral describes it as "lncRNA (ENSECAG00000048622.1)". Lineage: Eukaryota; Metazoa; Chordata; Mammalia; Perissodactyla; Equidae. The record is from RNAcentral.
AAUCAAGGAAAGUGGAUCCGCCCUCCCAGCCUCCGCCCUGCCCCUCAGCAGGAGAGCGCUCUGAAAGAAUGGGAGGAUUACCAACUCUCCUUUGGGGCUGGGAUGCAACACAAACAUUUGAUGAUCAAUAGAAGACUUUAUAAAUAAUGAACAGAACUCACAGAAUUGUGCUUGGACUCCUGAUGCCUGGAAAUGCCUGCCAUACUUUGCUUCUCCUCCAGGGCUCAGUCUAGGGUGGCCUGUGCACCUAUGGGACAAUGCAC